UUUCCUUUGUCCUCUUGCCAAAAAACUUUUUACGUACCGUACGGAAAAAGAACACCACACCUAUGAACCCUAGGCAUGGAGUCGUCGAUGAGUAAUAAUGGCCGAAAGCAUUUGAAGUGUCUGGAGCAGAGCUCAGGUUUCUUCCAGGGUUCAAACUAGGUCACAAAAUCACCCAAAUUUGCAGUGAAGUAAAUAUCUGGAAAUAAUUAUGGAAGAAACUGCUUACCACCAAAUGAGAUCAAACUCUGCCGUAGAUGAAAUAAAUCAAGUCAUGUGCAACUCAAACCAAUUUGAUAGAAAAUCGAAACCAACCACAAACCAGAGGAGUACAUGCGUAUACGAUCAAGAGAGAAGAGGUAAGAAUUGGCUUACAUGGCCAUCCAUGCACGGUUGUAAAAAGCCAAAUCGACAAUAUAAGCAGACAUAUAUAUUGAUCCUGAUCUAUAAAUAUAAACCCUUGCGUAAGCAUAUAGAAAGUAAAAGACACAUAGAGAUAAUUGCUAUAUGUAGUCAGAUUAGGACCAAGUAAUAGAUAUUUAUAAAAGCAUAUAAAUAUAUAUAUUGAUUUUCAUGAGCAAAUGUAUACGGAGUAGCUUUAUUCAAGAAUUUGAGUUUUAACAUAAUGUUUAAUUU
This is a long non-coding RNA of Cannabis sativa, 633 nucleotides long. RefSeq lists it as uncharacterized. The transcript is spliced from 3 exons. The record is from RefSeq and is a predicted model, not a curated record. Lineage: Eukaryota; Viridiplantae; Streptophyta; Magnoliopsida; Rosales; Cannabaceae.